RNAcentral lists this ribosomal RNA (492 nucleotides) under uncultured bacterium. RNAcentral describes it as "partial 16S ribosomal RNA". It matches the Rfam family "Bacterial small subunit ribosomal RNA", at positions 29 to 507 of the family's 1533-position model. The record is from RNAcentral.
AGUGAACGCUGGCGGUAGGCCUAACACAUGCAAGUCGAACGGCAGCACAGUAAGAGCUUGCUCUUACGGGUGGCGAGUGGCGGACGGGUGAGGAAUACAUCGGAAUCUACUUUUUCGUGGGGGAUAACGUAGGGAAACUUACGCUAAUACCGCAUACGACCUACGGGUGAAAGCAGGGGAUCUUCGGACCUUGCGCGAUUGAAUGAGCCGAUGUCGGAUUAGCUAGUUGGCGGGGUAAAGGCCCACCAAGGCGACGAUCCGUAGCUGGUCUGAGAGGAUGAUCAGCCACACUGGAACUGAGACACGGUCCAGACUCCUACGGGAGGCAGCAGUGGGGAAUAUUGGACAAUGGGCGCAAGCCGGAUCCAGCCAUACCGCGUGGGUGAAGAAGGCCUUCGGGUUGUAAAGCCCUUUUGUUGGGAAAGAAAAGCAGCAGGUUAAUACCCCGCUGUUCUGACGGUACCCAAAGAAGAAGCACCGGCUAACUUCGUG